This 338-nucleotide ribosomal RNA is filed under the name Paraclodes querapido. RNAcentral's name for it is "partial 18S ribosomal RNA". It matches the Rfam family "Eukaryotic small subunit ribosomal RNA", at positions 169 to 491 of the family's 1831-position model. The record is from RNAcentral. Lineage: Eukaryota; Metazoa; Arthropoda; Insecta; Orthoptera; Phalangopsidae.
UACAUGGAUUUCAGYCGGGACCCGAAAGGGGAAGGACGYUUUUAUUARAUCAAAACCAAUCGGCCGGBUCGCCCGGUCGUUCCGUUUUGGUGACUMUGGAUAACCUUGGGCUGAUCGCACGGUUUCCGCACCGGCGACGUGUCCUUCAAAUGUCUGCCUUAUCAACUGACGAUGGUAGGUUUUGCGCCUACCAUGGUUGUAACGGGUGACGGGGAAUCAGGGUUCGAUUCCGGAGAGGGAKCCUGAGAAACGGCUACCACAUCCAARGAAGGCAGCAGGCGCGCAAAUWWACCCACUCCCGUCAUCGGGGAGGUAGUGMCGAAAAAUAACCGAUACUR